GCCCCACAUGGUGACAGCUGAGCUGAGUAGCUGACAAGAGCCAACUUGGUGAGAUUUUUCUUCAGUAUCGUUCCAGCCAAGGCGCGUGACGUAUAUGAAUUCUUCAUAAUUUAAUGCCAAUUGGGGCACUGCCCGCUGCCCGGGCCGCCCGCCCCAAACCCUAGCGACCAAUCCUGAGAGCAAACCAUUGCCACGAAGAGGAAGAUUGUUUGGCAGUGGUAGCCGCCGCGGGCAGGGUAGGGGUAGCCUCCGACCUCCCUAUAAAAUGCAGGGCAAGCUCAGAGUUUCAUUUCAUCCACACCUUCAGGGCGCCGUUCUUGGUACUAUAGCAACUAUAUAGGAGUAGUGUUUGGGUUUCACUUUGAUCUCUUGUGUUCUUUCUCGCAGCGUGUCCGGGUGGUGUUGUGCUUUCUUGCAGUGAGCCUGCUCUGUUUUUACCAAUGGUUUCUUUGUUCAUGUGGUGGUUUUGAGCUCCAUUUUUCUUCUUCUUCUUCUUCUCUCUCCCUGGGACUGUUGUUUUUUUGGUGUGGUGCAAAAACUUCCAAUCCGGCUGCGACGAAUCUCGUCUGGGCAGCCCGGCCACCUUUUGCACAUAAGGAUGGGCUACGUGUGUUGAACAUUAGUGGCGAAGCGCCCGAUUCACUCUGCUUGGGGGCCUGGAGUUCCAUCUGCCUUCCAGUCCUCUCAGUGAAGCGGGCGCACAUCAGUUGGUUUUUCUUUACCCCCCCUCGCCUCCCCUUUUGUUUUCCUGCGAUGGCUUCUGUUUUCGUGUUCAAACAGAAGGUCGUCGUCUCUUGGAUCUGCUUGAGUUUUGUCAUGGUUUAUGUGGCCUGCGCAAUGCAAAGGGUCUGGAACUAAAAGGUUUUCUGUGGCGAAAUUGAUGCCCGUGCCAAGUACAUGAACAGAGUUGGAAUGCAAUGAACUCCAAUGGCAACACGCGCCUUUUAGCGGAAGUAAAAGCCGCCACAGUGAAUGCGAACCCUAAAAGCUGCGCGCUUGAAAACGUUCCAGUUUCGUUCUUCUAAGAAAAAGAAAACACACUCUAUCGUUUUGGAUUAAAGCUGGUGUUUGUACUGCUGUACAUAAAAGCGGUUCUUUUUAAAAUCAACAAAACUGUACUAUGUCUGAAGCUGACAUCCUGACAAGACUGGGACAUAAACGGCUCGUAGUCUUACGGCUUCUUUGGCUAAUCUCUUCUCCGGAGGGAUUGGUGGAUUUAAAAUCUAUCUAUCUCGAACCGAAGAAGCCCUGCAUGGAGAAACCGGACGAAAACAGUUGAUUGACAUAAUUGAAAUUAUGCAUGUUUCCAACGAACAGAACGAUCUCAAAUAUCUUGGAAGUAUAUUCGCAGAAUAUUCCGUUCUUAUGUGUCGCCACAUGCAAGUCCUCCAAGAACGUCCUCUCCAUGUAUGAAAUGAAGACAUUAUACUAGCCCAACGUAGCAAAAAAAAAAGAAGAGUAAGGUCCCUUUGGUAGGCUUAUUUUUCAGUUUCGGCUCUGACUCAUGCAAAAGUUGUAUCAAACACCUCUUUUUCAAAUGGCUUCAUCAGUGAAGUGUUUUUCCAAAAUAAACUAGAGGGCAUGAGCCAAAAAAGUGGCUCACCCGGCUUCAGCUCACGUUAUUUUUGCACAAUAGCCCUCCCACCAGUCCAAAUUAUUAUUUUUUGGUCCUGUCCUCAAUCCCUAGCCACGUACAGGAGAGAUAAACUAUACAAGGGUCUUUCUGAAAAACAACCUAUAAGCCGUUUUGCCAAAUGAUUUUUCAGAAUGACUUUGGCUCAUCUAAAGAAGUGGUUUCACCUCGUGAGCCAGAGCCAAAGCCGUUUUUGGAGAAACCAGAGUCCUACCAAAGGAGCCAUAAAUGCUCCACCCAUUUAGACCCCUUUGGAAUGCAGGAUUGUUAUACGGAAAACAGAUGAUUGAAAGACCGAGAAAAUUUCAGAAAACAAGCGUACGAAAUUUAUAGGGAUAGGAAUGCAUAAUUAUUUUUUUUACAUUAGGUUAGUGGUCACAAAUGUUUUGGAUGAAUCGUACAAUAAUUUAGUAGCAACAAAAUAAUAAGAAUUGAAAAAGAGAUUCAGAGCAAUGUUUAGUUUACUAUAUUUUCAUCAGCACGAUAGGAAAUUUUCCUUUGCUUUUCCUUCGCUUCAUUUCUAGGGUAAUCUAAUCUUGUCAUCUUUACAGGAUGGGUGAUAUACAAAAUGCUAUGUAGUGACUUCAAUGAGCGUGAUUUAGUAUCAUCCGAAAGACGACAAAAAGAUCAAAUAUUUAUCAUAUCUAUAUUCCAAAGGCAUGAAUAAGUUUUUUUUCCUAUAGGAAUUAGAAUCCUACACUUUUCCUAAAAAAAUCCUUCAAUCCAGAAAGGCCCUUAACGGGAAACUGAAUUCAGUAGCAUACAUGAAAUAUGUUUUCCAAAGGUAACAUAGAGAAGUUUGAAUUUGAAUCAUCUGGAUCCAGCUCCACGUAUCCUAGCAUCAGCACUCAGCAGGGUCCGACCAAUUGGCGAUGAUAUACAACAGUACAUGACUGCCAUCAACUUGUGAAAUGUAUUGCGUUCUGCAAGAGCCUUGUGGAACAUUAAUAAGUUGUUUGGAUUGAGGAAUUGGCUAGUCCUUCAUCUUCUCACUCCUCACUUUUUUUGUUUGGUUUGUAGAAUGGAAUGAGUUGAUCCAUCAUCACCUCAUUCCUUAUAGUUAGUUAGUACUAAUAUGAGAAAUAGGAUCAUCCCACCAAAUUUGAGGAAUGAACCCAUGAUGCACCACCACAUUUUGUAUGAAGUGAUUCCUCAAACCAAACACCCCAUAAAUCUGACUAAAUCUCGCAUACCUUCUUACAAAACCGAUCCCUUUGCAAGCUCAGAAUUUGAUCCACAAGGGCAGCAUGGAAACACUCAAUGCAUCGGACCUUUUAAUUUGCUGUUUAUUUGAUUCCAGCGUCAGUUUCUCUUCCAAUUACUCAGCCGAAGAUUGCAUCAAGAUGCCCUAAAGAAAUGCUAAACAUUGCAAACAUGUGAAACUGGUUCCGUGUAACCAAUUUACAAUGGGAAGCUAUGCCCACGCUCCAAAAGUUCUACCAAAACGUCUAGGAGUCAGGGAUCAGGAAUGUCUGAAGAGGGAAGAAACCUCAUCAGAAAGCUUGAGAGGGACCAAACACAGAUAACGCCAAGAAUUUGAAGGACAGUCAGUAAUGCUCCUAAUGAGUUCAUGAUGGCUAGGGUUUGAUUUGUUGUCUCUGUUCCUCUGACAGAAAAUGUGAGUGCCGUCACCAGCUGAGCUGCCCUGUUCAGUUGGUGUAGCCUGUAUACCUGAAAGGAGGGGGAAAUCACAUGACGAGAACUAACUGAAGCAUUUAGCUGGACCUGAGAGCAUCAUGUAACAUCAAAGUGCUUAUCCAUUCAUAGAAAAAUGUAAAAUACGCAAUUUCUUGAUUGUUCGAAAUCAAAAUGAACAAGAGCAGAGUAGGGAAACCAGCUGUGGUUAUCAAGAACCAAGAAAUAACAACUGCAAGCAACCUGGCCCUAGCCUUCUGGUGUACAUUACUACUAAACCAUCCUUGGAAAAAUUGGAUGCACCUAGGCCUUAGAUGGAUAUGUCAUUCUAAGGUUCUCUUUUUGUGUCUUUAAAUCCUCUAUCAGGAUACAAACUUUUACAUCAACAAAACAGUAUACUGGCUGAUCAUCAAAUUGCUUCCCAUAAGCAUCAUCCUUUUUUAAUCUUUGUGGCCCCAGCAUAUCCAAAGGACAAACAAGAGAACAACAUUUGGCUCUACUUCAUAGAAAUAAAAAUACCAUCAACUUAUUUACUAGAAUACUUCACUGGAUUAUUUUCUUCCACAUUUCCCAGUCUUAGUUGUUGCCCAUAGAUUCUUCAAAAUGCUUCCAAUAGAGUCCAGAAUUACUUGAUACACUGAUAGCCAAUCCCAAGUCCCAGCUCCCAAAUAUCAGGUACGAUUGAUCAGAUCACAAACUAAAGAGAUGGAAUAAAAGUAUAAAACUAUAAAUAUAUAGUUUCCACACAUUUGAACUUGAGCAUAACUGGAAAGCACAAUUAAUAACGCUAAUACUUCAUGAUGCAAUCUGAUAGAACCUGCGCUGUGUAGGUGGUAGGAGUGUUGCCCAGGGACUCGGCGUGGAGCCUGGGGCUUGGGUGGCGCCGUGGUAGCGUGGGAGAAGAGGGAUUGGAAGGAUUUGGAUGGCCCGAAGCAACCCUGAGUUGCUUCCUGCCUAAAAACUUUUUUUCUGGAAUACGCAGGAGAGCUGCGCAUCUUUGUAUUAAUAGAAGAAAAGAAAGGGGGAGAGAACCCCAAUACAGCACACACACCACUAGAGACUAACUACGGAUCACCGACUAAAACAUGGAGGAAACACGACCCACACCGCUGUUUUAAGCCAGCAACUCUUCGACUUGGAGGAAGGACAAGGCCUUGGCACCAGUCAUGGACCAGAGCACCGCCUCUUCCCUAGCCAUCCUAAGGGCCAUGACCAAGCUGGGAUUACAACCAUCAAAAACACACCUAUUCCUAUGCUUCCAAAUGGUCCAAGCACCUAGGAUCACUAAAGAAUUGAAACCUUUUCUCACAAUAUCCGAUGCCCGGGAGCUGCUAGACUUCCACCACGACUCAAAGGAUUCCUCAUGAGCUGGAUACAGAUCCCGCAGCCCCACUGAAUUAAGGAAAUCAAACCAGAACCGCUUAGCAAAAACACACUUGACUUAUUCACAUGUGUUAGGCUUAUAUAGCCCAUUACAGUUGGUUGAUCUCCUAGAGAAUAGGAGAUCCACCUAACUAUCCCUUAUCUAAUGAAUAUCUACUAAAAAUAGGAGAUUUGCUAUCUCUCUAACUAACUCUUCUUAUCCCUGCACCUGUAUGCUAUUCCGGUCAUAACAUCUCUCCCCCCUCCAAGAACAGAUCGUCCGCGAGCUGAACCUCCGGAUAUUGCUGCUUAAACUUAGCAUUGUCCUCAUCCAUGCCGCCCCAUUGAACUAGAACAUGCCAAAUGCCACGACGCAGGGAUGCACGAAGCACACGAGCAGGGACUGGUAGCAGUCGGCCAUUUUCCAUUGGUGGCAGAGCUGGAACUGAUGCUGGUGAAGUGCCAUGAAAUACCUUCAGGAGUCCCAUAUGGAAAACAUCGUGUAGGCAAGCAUUUGUGGGGAGCUGUAGACGGUAAGCAACUGAGCCAAUACGUUCCAGCACCUGAAAAGGACCUGCAUAUCGUGGGGCCAGCUUGCUGUUGACUGUAUCAAAUAGAGACGGCAUAGGUCGGUGCAGUAGCUGGAGCCAGACCCAUGUGCCGACCUCAAAUACCCCUUCGCGAUGGUCCUUGUCAUACCAGCGCUUUGCAUACUGCUGAGCUUGCUGCAGACGGGUGCGAACUUCUGCCAAAAAAAUGUCUCUUGCCUGGACCAUAUCAUCCACCGACUGAGUGUGCGCUGUCCCUGGUUGAUAAGGAAGAAGAGCAGGUGGUUCGCGGCCAUAGACGACCUGGAAUGGUGUGGCGCGCAAUGCUGUAUGGUAGGAGGUGUUAUAGCAGUAUUCAGCCCAAGGUAACCAUUCUAGCCAAGAUCUAGGGCGGUCUCAUGUGACGCACCACAAGUACGUUGCAAUGGUGCGAUUAACCACCUCUGACUGUCCAUCCGUUUGAGGAUGAAAAGCAGUACUCAUACGUAAGGUGCUGCCUGUCAUCUUGAAGAGGUCUCGCCAUAAAUGGCUUGUGAACACAGGGUCUCGAUCACUGACAAUGAAGUUGGGAAUACCAUGCAGACGCACAAUGCCCUCAAAAAAAAGCUUUAGCAACCGAGGUGGCGGUAUAUGGGUGGCCCAAUGCGAUGAAGUGAGCAUAUUUAGACAGUCGAUCCACUACUGUCAAUACCACUGAUUUCCCAUGUACCUUAGGAAACCCCUCCACAAAAUCCAUGGAGAUGUCAGACCACACCUGUGAGGGUAUGUCAAGGGGCUGUAACAGACCUGCCGGGUGGAGAUGCUCAGUCUUGUUUCGUUCACAGAUGGUGCAGGCUCUGACAAACUCACAAACUUGUGCCCGGUCAUGUGGUACAUAGAAAUCUGCGCGCAGGCGGUUGAUAGUCUUCUAAAUGCCCUCAUGACCUGCACCAUGCACCAGGUGUAGGAGCUGGGGUAACAGAUCUGACAUGAUGGGCUAGUUCCCCUGCUGCAAUCUGAUCCAUCAUGUGCGUGCAUUCUGGGGAAUGGUUGAAAGGCGUUGAUCCAACAGAAACUUAAGGCUAUAGUGAUCUGUGCGAACGAUAAAUCCGCGUCCCCAUAAAUAUGGCCUCCAGUGACGAACUGCCUGGACGAGACCAAUGAGUUCUCGUUCAUAUGCUGCCAGUUUAUGGUGACGUGCUGCAAAUGGCCUGCUAAAGAAGGCGAUGACAUCUGUGCCCUGGUGAAGAACAGCCCCAAAACCAGUCCCUGAUGCUCCACAGCCCACCAUGAAAUCAGUAUCAAACCGGGGUAGCUGGAGGAUAGGGGCUGAUGGCAGUGCCCCUUUGAGGGCGCAGAAAGCAUGCUCGGCGUCAUCAGUCCAUUGAAAUCCUUCCUUACGAAGUAGCUGCGUAAGGGGGGCAGCCAGGACACCGAAGUUAUGGAUGAACUUGCGAUAAUAGCCUGCAAGGCCUAGGAAACCACGGAUGCCCCGGACAGUGCGAGGUUGCGGCCAGCUUUGGACUGAAGCAAGCUUUUCUGGAUCCAUUGAGACCCCUUCUGCAGAGAUUACAUGUCCCAGGUAGGAGGAUAUUGAGCGAGCUCCAAAAAUGCACUUGGAACGCUUGACAAACAAACUGUGAGAACAGAGUGUAUCCAGGACUGCUGCCACAUGCCUCAAAUGUACUGUCCAAGAUGUGCUGAAGAUCAACAUGUCGACGAAGAAAACCAAGACAAAACGACGUAGGAAGGGCUGAAGUACUUCAUUCAUUAAACUCUGAAAGGUUGAUGGUGCAUUUGUUAAGCCAAAUGGCAUAACCAAGAAUUCAAAGUGACCAUGAUGAGUGCAGAAAGCCGUCUUUUCAAUAUCAUCAGGGUGUACUCGGACUUGAUGGUACCCGGAGCGUAGGUCCAAUUUGGUGAAGUGACAGGCUCCAUGGAGUUCAUCGAGGAGCUCAUCCACCACGGGUAUGGGAAAUUUGUCUUUGACUGUACACUCAUUCAGAGCACGAUAAUCAAUGCAAAAUCGCCACUACUGAUCAGCUUUUCUUACCAACAGGACUGAAGCAGAGAAGACAGAUGUGCUAGGUCGUAUGAUCCCUUGGGCAAGCAUGGUGGCGCACUGGCGUUCUAACUCAUCUUUCUGCAAUUGAGGAUAUCUAUAUGGUCGAACUGCCACUGGUGGCGUUCCUGGGUGUAAAUGAAUGCGGUGGUCGCAUGACCGAGCUGGUGGCAGCCCUUGGGGUUCAUCAAAUAUUGUAGGGAAUGAGAGCAGCAACUGAUCAAUCAUCUGGGGUUCGUUGACCUGCAGGGAGCGCGUUGCUGGUUUGGAGAUGUCCCUGGCUGCGUGGGGAGCCCAGGCCCUUCCACAGGACCCGACGACCUCCACGCGUAAACGCCAUGCACAGGUCUUCGAAAUCCCCGAGAAUAGGCCCCAAUGUUCUGAGAAAUUGGACCCCGAGAAUCACAUCAAAACUGUCAAGGGCAAUUGCAUAGCAGGGGACUGCGAAAUAGUCGUGGCCGAUGACGACGAGAAUUCCUUCAGCAAAUCCUUGGCAAGUGACCUUUUCCCCAUUGGCUACAGUGACCUGUCGACCUAGGCUGGGUCCUAGCUGGACACCCAAUCGGUGCUGUGUAGCUGCAUCUAGGAAGUUGUGAGUGGACCCUGAUUCGAGCAGUGCAAUCAGGUUGUGUCCAUGGAUUGAUAUGAUGAGUUGCAUUGUGUCCUUUGAUCGGGUACCCAACAAGGCAUGGAGGGAGAUCACUAGAUCAACAGCAGUGGUGUCCGAAUCCUCUGCACUAGUGUCCUCCUCCGUGUAAUCUGAAACCUCAAGGUAGAAGAAUCUAUGGCAGUGAUGUCCGCACGCGUACUGUUCGUCGCAGUUGUAGCAGAGUCCCUGUUUGCGUCGCUUGGCCAUCUCUGCAGGUGUCAGUUGCUUGAAUGGACGAGCUGGCUGUGUUGUGGGUGCCCCGGUGACAGGUUGAGCUGGCCUAGAACUGGCUGGUUGGGGAAACCAGUGUAAUGCCUGGGCGCGAUGUUCAUAGGCCCUGGCCAUGGUGAGAGCCGUGUUCAGAUCUGGGGGACUGAGUAACUCCACAUCGAUGCGAAUAUGCUCUGGCAGUCCAGCUGUAAACAGCUGAACCAGUUGUUCCGGUGUGAGGGGUGCGACGUGGCACAACAGCGCCCAGAAGCGCUCUUGGUACUCAUCAACUGUCGUCCGGAAUGGUAGGCGCGCCAAUUCACCAAGUGGAUUGUUCUGGAUGGGGGUCCAAAUCUUUGUGACACAGGAACACAAAGCGAUCCCAGGAGAUGGCCGGCUCUUCCCUGUUGAUCAUGACAAACCACUGGCGGGCUGCCCCUGUCAUGUGAUACGAGGCCAGCCAGACUUUGUUGGAUUCCAGGGUGCCCUGACCAUGGAAAUACUGCACACAGUGGUUCAGCCAUCCUAGCGGGUCCUCCUUCCCAUCAUACAGGGGAAACUCUAGCUUGUGGAACCUGGGGGCUGGUGGUGGCAUGACGGAACCAGGGAAGUCCGUGGUGACAUAUGACAUGUGAGGCGGUGUGGUGGUCAUGAUGGGGAUGGUGGAAAUUGAAUCUGGUGGAUAGGUAUGGGUUGGGUAAAUGUGGAGACGAUGGGGGCUGAUGGUGGAAUUGGCGAGGUGGUGGCGGCUGGGAUGCCGCCGUAACUCGGCAAGCCAUAGGGAAGACCUGCCGUGUUGUUGGAGGAUGCUGAUGAAGAUGCCACAGUUUCCCGUGCUAUCAUGCGAGCGGAUAUCGAGGACAUCUGCUGCACCAUUUGCCGGUGGAAGUCUGCCAUCAUUGUCUUCAAGUCCAGGACGCCAGUAGAUGGAGGAUCGGCGGCCGGUGGAACACCAUGGGUGGUUGGGGCAAGGUGGAGGUUGUGGCCGCCUCUGUCCCUGGCAUUCCCGAUACUAGAUUGAUAGAACCUGCGCUGCAUAGGUGGUAGGAGUGUUGCCCAGGGACUCAGCGUGGAGCCUGGGGCUUGGGUGGCGCCGUGGUAGCGUGGGAGGAGAAGAGGGAUUGGAAGGAUUUGGAUGGCCCGAAGCAACCCUGCCUAAAAACUUCUUUAUUCACAUGUGUUAGGCUUAUAUAGCCCAUUACAGUUGGUUGAUCUCCUAGAGAAUAGGAGAUCCAUCUAACUAUCCCUUAUCUAAUGAAUAUCUACUAAAAAAUAGGAGAUCUGCUAUCUCUCUAACUAACUCUUCUUAUCUCUGCGCCUGUAUGUUAUUCCGGUCAUAACACAAUCAUACCAAUACAAAUUAAGAACAAAAUUACCUUGAAGAUAAUAGGAAUCACUGGCCAAGAAGGUGAUUUCCGAUGCCGUGCAUACUGUUCAAAUGCAAACUGUACAACCAGUCCAACCAAAUAAGGGGCAAGAGUCGCUGAUGCUGCUGGUCCAGUCCAGGGCCAUACCAUGCCCAUUGUUAAAAGAGGUAUUAUCAAGCUCAGAACCAUUGUUGUUACUGAGGAAAUACGGAAAAAUCUGGAUUUUGACCAAAUGUAACUCUUUGGUGCUACUUGCUGCAAAGGUCUCCAGACUUUAUCAAUCAAGAAGACAAAAAUUGCAACUCCUCCAUAAAAUAAAGCCUCGGUAAAGAAUAGUAUAAGAAAAUCUGCAAACAAGAAAAAUAAAAUCCAUCAAGUACGCAUCUUCGUGAUAGUGGAUGGGGAUAUUGCUGAUUUUUAGAAAAUACAAAGAUUGUAAAAAAUGGAUUAUGUGAAAGAUGACAGGAUAGGUCAUUGUGGCAACAUACUGUAUCACUGGGGGUAACAUCUAAGUUUACUACUGGAAGUCUGCAAUUUAUGGAAAAACUAUUGAGAAAAGCAUGUUGGAGAAUGUAAAUUACAUUCUCCAUAUGCUUUUCCAUAAUUAUGAAACAUGUUGGAGUCUCUGGCACGAGGUCUACCCUAUAAUCGUUAUGAAACAUCCAUAAUCUAGAAAACAAACACCACAGUCCUGAAACUAUCAAAGAAAGGAUACCUGUCAACAAGGAAUCUUCAAACACUGCUGAGAGUACUUUGCGCAAGUAAAGAGAUGGAAGAACCAAGAAAGACACGAGAAUAGUAGGGCCAAUAAACCAAACUAAUCGAGAUGCUUCCUUGCCAGGAUGUGGCACGCUCUCCACAGUUGACUUUCGGAAGGUGCUUUCUUGAAAAGAGAUGAAUCCUGGUUUUCCAGCACCUCUGCCAGCGAAGUAGGAGUUUUCAGAUGCAGGGGUAACUUUAGUACCACUUUCUGCCUCAUGCAAAACCGGCAUGUCUGAGUAACGUGAAACGACCGGCUCCUGCUUGUCCGUAGCAGCAAAGCAUAUAGUCCUCUUAAUAUGAAAUCGUCCAUCAUGGUCGCCAGUGCUGCUAAAAACUUGAGCUGCUAGCGUGGAGUAAAAGAUCAGCACAAACUGCUACUCUAAUUCAACAAAGUUCUUCUGGAAAAGCAUAUUGAGAAUGUAAAUUACUUACCUUUUAGAGUACCGAAAUGCUGCAUCGUGCUUCCAUUGACUCUCUGAACUGGAAAUGACCUCCCAAACUGAGAUAUAUAAGCCAUGCCAGCGCACUAGUCAAUACAACAAAAUCGAACAAUUUUAAGCAUAUCUACGAGCUAAUAUCGUGCAGAAAUACACUAUGUGAAGUAUAGGUAGGCACUUGUGACUGGGGGCAUGUAAAGAAAAAUCAAUCUGAGCCUAGGCCAGCCAAGUUAAGUCCUUGAGGGGAAUUUGGGUGCCUAUUCUUUAUAUGAUUAGAAAGGCAACUAGUUACUGCCGAGCUUUUUAAAGCAAAUUCCGAAUGUUAUAUCUCAGAACUUCCAUGAAAAAACCCAUUGGCACAUGGCCACCGCACCAAGACAGAUUCGAGUCUUCCAUUCGACUAGAUCAUGUGCAUAGGGAAGAUGGAUUGGGAAAAUCAAAUAAACAAAACCCUGCCAAAUUCCCAACUAAACAAGCAACAUUUAGAGGGAAAUUUCUAGGUGCAUAAGGAGGGGAGGAGGGGAGAGGAAUUGCCUUGAAACAGGAGUGAGAGAAGGAGCCGAAGCGACAGCGAGGAGGGGCGGAGGAGGAGGUCGCCGACGUAGAGGCGGCUCUCGGGCGGAGCCGGAGGGCGGGGCUUGCCACGGCGGCCAUCGGCUUCCGCCUUCCUCUGUGUUAUCUGCAGAGUGCAGACUGCAGUAGUGGCCUAGUGGGCAACCGGGGCGCACAGUUCGGCGGCCGAUGGGACGGGCACCGGCGCCCCGCAGUCGCAGUAUCGCAGAGGCGCACACCACAGAGCUAGGGCCUGGAGGACGCCUCGCCUGGUCCGUUUGGUGGUGUGAUGGGGAGCACCGGGAGCACCGGCCGCACAAGAACACGACUACACGCCGCGCUGUCAUGGUGUAUUCGAACCGGAGGCCUUGACUGGGCUGAGAACGAGCCUUGGUGUUGGUGGGAUGUAAGGGUGCGUUUGGUUGAAUGUACAAAGAGAGAUAGAAUGAGGCGACCAUGUUUUCUAUAGUGUUUGGUUGAGAGUCAAGCGGGGGCGAGGUGGACACCGGAGUGAUUUUUGGGGCGGCGUGAUCCCAAAAAAUCGAGGGGACGGUGGCGCCCCCGACUCAUCCUACUUUGACCUCAAACCAAACACACCCUAAAGCUGGACUAGAAUAGGGCAGCGCCCUACCGGGCGCUACAGUUAUUGUAGCACAGUCGUACACUAAAAAAUCGUUCGAGUGGCAUAUGUUGCUGUAAAGCAAGCUACAUAUCUACGAUAGUCAAGUUCACAGUUACAAAAUAUAAUAUACAUCAAAGUCGUUAUAGGUUACUGGUUACAUAAAUGUAUGAGCAUCACAGUUUGCAGCCUUGUAGCAUGAAUAUAGAAGGACCAAAAUAACAUGUGAUGCGAUCCACAAACGCAAAAUACACAAGAGCGGGUUGUGGUUGUGCAGUCACUGACUACGGCUAGGCCUAGUGGGUAACAGCACGCACUGACUACUGCAUAGAAUUUCAACCCAAUGUGCAUACAUAUAAAUAAAGAUGCAAUACUCCUAUUGUCAGAAGUUACUUGUUCUGUCAGUUUUAGCAACUCAUCUGCUAGUGAAUUCUGAAUAGAUUCCAAUGAGGCCUGAAACUCACCAGCAUUAUUUCCAAAAAGGCAGCCCAUAUGAGAUCAGAGUAACAAAUGAUAAAUGAAAAUGAAGUAAUGAUUUUGAGUGACUGUUGUCCUAAUGAAUACUAUAAUAGAAGUAUGAAAGGAAUAACAUAACCUGAAAGAUUGCCAGCAGCCUAGCAUAUAACCUGAAAGGUUGCCAGCAGCCUAGCAUAAAUAACCUUAUACAAGCUUUCAGGUUAUGUUAUUCCUUUCAGCCUAGCAUAAAUAUAGCAACUCAUCGCUGCAGCUCCUCGCCUUAUGUUUUAAAUAUUCCAAACUUCUAUAGCGGAAGACAGUUGUGCUGUGCCCGUGGGAGCAGCUGCUCUGUGGCACAACCGUAGAGCCAGAGGCAAGGAGCACCAGCGAUUCAGAUUCAGCUCUUCUGAGGCCAGACAGACAAGUCACCAGCUCUUCUGAGGAGCUGCAGUACUUAGAAUGAAGCAUCAUGAUCUAGCGAUGACCUGUAAACACUAAUUAGUGUGAGAACAUUAAAGCAUGUAUUGAGCUAAAUUUGAGAAGCCACAAUACUCUUGAGGAGCUUCUUUCUAAAGGGCGAGCUAAAAUUAUCUAUCCUGAACAUGACUUCCUUAGGUAAAGGUGUAUGCUGGAUUUAUUGGUACCAAUCACAUAGAAAACAUGAAGGCUCACUUCACAAUUUUACUCACUUCAGAGAGAAACAACACCAUAAAUUAGGAAUAAGUGUAUAAAAUAAAAAAAAUCAGAUGUCAGUCCUGCUUCAGGCUGAGUGGUAGGAAUAUAAUUAGGUUACUAUAACAGCAAACUGUACCAAAAUCCAAAGGUUACGACCCUGUAACCAUUAACCAAUCUUGAAACAACAAAAACAAACUGGCACUAAAUAUAAUACCGUUUCAGUUUGAAAUUAACAACUUCAAAUGUAUGAUGACCUCUUUAAAUUCACACCGAAUCAGCUCUAGAAUUGCAAAUUAAGCAAGUCCUUUGUAGAGUCCAACUUGUUUAUACGUGGCCUAUAGUUGGUCGGGUCUCUUUUAAAAGUAAUGUCAAGAUGCUACCACAAGAAUGGCAAGUGAAGUUAGUGCAGGGAAAUAGAUAAGCCAAUGAUGAAGAAAUCAAAGCAAUGGCACAGAUACAACAACGGGUUUUUUAUGUGCAAAUAUACUCGAGCUCUCAAAUCCUACUGAAGAUUUUUGUUAGACAUCAAGGUGUUAGUAAGGUCUUGAAGAGCCUGGUCUGUCAGAGUCCUGUUCGUUUAUAAACAGCCUGUAGUUGGUUGGAUCUUUUUUGGAAACCAACAUGGAGAUACUACACCAAAAUCAAAAGAAAAAUGGUGCACGAAAUUCUAUGUUUUUGCACAACCCAUGAAAUCCUAGGUUAAUACUAUAGGAACCAAUGUAAAGGGUAAUAAGCUAGACUCCAGGCCAAUAAAAGUUUGAAGUGCAGAUAUAUAGUAUGACUGAAGAUUAAACUAUGAGAACUGCAUAUGGUUGGACCAACAAAGAGCACGCUAUGUUAUUGGUAACAGUCCAUAUUUUGCUAUCAUGCACUUACUGAUAAGAAUUUAUUCAUCCCGGAUACUAAAGACUGUGGUGCAUUGGCAGUACAGUCAAUAGAAGGUCGCCCCUCAUAAACAAUGACCUUGUCAGCCAAGUAUGUUGCCAUGAUGAAAUCAUGCUCAACAAUAAAUGCAGUUUUCUUCGCGUGAAGAAUGAAUCUCUUGAUAACCUUUGAGGCCACAAUACGCUGCUCCAAAUCAAGAUAAGCACUUGGUUCAUCAAUCAGAUAGAUAUCUGCAGGCUGAACAUAUACCACAAUGUAAGUGUGCAGAAGCUGACAAUCAAUCCAAAUGAUAUAAGGUUAGUGGUAUCUAGAGGCUGAGUGUCAUUAAAGUAUUAGGGAUAUAUGGUACCAGGCAUCAUCAAUAACUGGAGCAAUUGGAUAUAUGGUACACAGAAUCAGAAAACAAAAACCAGUCAACCCAACACUAAGUAGAUAUGAAUUAGGAACUGAUAAAGGUACUUACGAUCUACUUUGGUACAUUACUCUAUAUUUUCACAUUACCUGCAUCAACGUUGUUUGCAUCUUCAAUCCUGGUCUUGAAAAUGUUGCUUCCUUGAGAUGCAGAGCUAGGAACUGAGACUGACACAGGAGCAGGAGGGGUAAACCUAGACUGACAUAGGGACGGCGUGGUGGGUAGUAGAGCCGAAUCGAUGAGCAGGGGCAGGGAAGCGGUGGAUCUAGAGGGAGGCGGCAUCGGAGGGAAGCACAGGGAAGCAUUCUUUUAACAUUCCAGGUGCUAAGUAUGAACUGCCCAAGUAUGUUUUGAGUGAACCAACCAACCUGAUCUGAGACAGCUGAACGGCAGCCGGCCGUAGGAAGACCCACCGAUGUAAAAACUGUAAAUGACUGCAGAUGCCGCCAAAUUGAUCCCUUGCUUGUGGUAACUGGAGUGCCUCGAGUAACCUUCACAUUUGCUUUGGCAACUUUCGGCAAUAGGGUUUUCCAGUUCUAGUGUUCAGAUAAAAAGCUUUUGCGUACCCUCGUCUAUUGUUCUUGGUUCUACUGUAAACGUGAGUCUGCUUAGAAUUCUUUGGAGCGAGAAUGCUGCUGAGAUUGUUCUCGUCCACUAUCAUGAUACAAGCUGGAGCAUACGUUUUAGAAACUUGUCACAUCUCGUGCAACUAAUUAUAUUAUUAUGUGGUCUGGUCUGACAUUUGAAAUGAAAUGCAUGAUAAGGAUACGAGCUAAUUCAUCAGAUGCUCACCUCCGCCUCUCCUCGUCUCUGUCUGCCUAUCCUCUCCUCUGUUGUUCCUCCACCGUCAGCUCUUGUCUACGUCCAUUCUAUUCAUUUAUAGUGUGUGAUCCGAUUUAGAGUUAACAGGUGUGUUACAGUUUGAUUUUAAACAUUCAGGUUUGGUCUCAAAUAUCGAACUGUUCCAUUGACAUAUUCAUUUCUAGCAAUAUCGUAUUUGAUUAUUUUUUAAAAAAAGAUGCUUAAAAUAGAAACAAUUUAAGCAUUUUUUCUAAUUACUUCAAAUGUUUUCAUUCAUAAACCUAUAUAAAGCAACGUUGUUUUGAAGAUUUGUAUUGCUAAUUGCACUCGAGGCCGUAAGUAAUUGACCAACUCAAGUACUGGCUAAUUUGAACUGGGUUUGGUUAGGUCAAGUGCUUGGUCCCAUCGCGUGUAUCUGUCGCUCAUCUCAUUGCGGCCAUUGCACAGUUGAUGUACAUUCCGGUUUCAUAAAGGUAUAAAAAAAUUUCUACUAAGAGAGAAGAUGUUAUGGUCGGAGACCAAACUAAAGCAGUUCAAAUCUCUCAUUCUCUCAUAUAAAUGCAAUACAUCUUCGUCAUAUUUGGUACCAUGACAUGUUUUAAACAACAGGUGCUAAACAUUAUUGUAAACACUUGAAUUAGCCCAUAAUCAAAUGCCUAGGAGACGCUACUUGAUACCUAAGUAAUGGGGGGGGGGGCAAAACAAGUCAAACCCCUGACAAUGUGCUUGCGCUGUCUUCUGAAGACUACAUCAUCCGCAUAACACUGGGAUUCAGUGAUACCGUGAGGGUAGGUAAUAUACAACUAACUCCUAGUUACAUGCACCUAGCCAGGCUUUGCAAGGAAGUUAACUAUAGCGUUCAUCUGUUCUCACGGAAGGACAAAAACAACUUGAUUUAAGCCUGGAAACAGCCAAUCGGAUCAUGAAACACAUUUCAUGCUUGCAACUUCAUCGGCCCUUAGCUUAUUCUGAAACAAAAGGCAAGAAACAUCAGUGAUCUGUGUGCCUCGUCGUCACACAACCAUAAGCUAAAACCUUUCGGUCAUAUAGAUGGGCAUACUUGUUUGCUUGGUUGAUCCAUUUUGACUAUUUUCUGGAACUUCCUUGACGGUAGAAGAUUCUGGAAUCUCAGAAGGUGACCUCAAUGCAUCUGCAGCGGUUGAAGCAUCCUGCGCCUUUUCUGCCCCGGGUAUGCACUGCUGCUCUAGCAUCAUCUGAAGACACUUCCCUUGUUCCUCGAUUCUUAGCUGCAAACUUCUUUGUAUCUAAAUUCCAUGGAACAGCAAUAGCGAUGAACUUUGUAAGAUACAGUAUGCUGCAGACAAGGUUACAAGAUAAUUUUCGGGGACAAACAUUAAGUUCAGAUUUUUGGCUAGCUCAAAUUUGAAUCUGAAGUGGUUAGCAGCAGGGAUGUGUAAACCAGUUAUGGUAGACCUAGCAUAUUUAAAAAAACAAAAAUAUGAAGCCUAUUGGCAUGUAAUGCUUACGGUUCAUCAACCAAUGAAGCAACCCGGACCAGACGCAGCGUGCCCUGCCGCCGUCCGUCCCCCUUCGUAUAAUGGACGCCGACGAGGCACCGGAGCCCGUUGUAUCCGCACGCCUCUGCCGCCAAUUCUGAAGGUAGGAUUUCGCCCUCCCGCGCGGCAAUGGGGUGCACGACCUCCCACGACGCCGUCGCCGUCGCUGUCACCUCCUCCAAUUCCCGCCCCGUGCACGCCGCUCGUCCGCGUCCGAGCCCUCACCGCGGCGCGGAGACCCCGCCGCGCUGUGCUGCGAGCGCGUGGCGCUCAUCCGCGCCGCGGCCGACCGCCGGUACGCGCUCGCCGCCGCGCACGCUGCCUACUUCCGCUCGCUCGCCGUCGUCGGUGACGCGCUACGGCGCUUCGUGGCGUCCGCGCUCGCGCCCGCCACGCCCGGGUCCUCGCCGGUGCUCACGCUUCCGCCUUCCCCCGCCAAGCUGGUCGCUGCCGCGUCCGCCAGCCUCCCGCCAUGGCCGUCGUCCACCGUCUCGCCGCUCUCGCACUCCCUCGCAGAGAAGGGGUGGAUCUUUAGGGAGGCGGCGUUGAAGGGAAGCGCGGGAGAGAGGACACGGUCACGGACUCAGGCCACCGCUGCUCACAACUGCAUUAGAAUUCGAUUUCGGGUCCGCGCUCACACGUGUCAACGCCGGAUCCAGGACACUCCCGUGAAGUGCGGACGGGGCUUCAAAAGGGGUGAGGUUUUAAUAACUUAGAUAAUGAAUUGUAUUUUUAUUGAUCAAUUAGAAUUGCCUUCUAGAACGUAUAAUUGUCUCAAAAGGGCCAAUAUACAUACACUAUUGGACCUUUUGAGUAAGACUGAAGAAGAUCUUAUGCAAAUUAAUAGUUUUCGUAUGGAAGAUGGAAAACUGAUAUGGGACACUCUAGAGAAGCAUCUAACAAUUGAUUUACCUAAGAACAAGUUCUCGCUUUAAAUCAUUGCAAUUUUUUCCUCUUCUUCUUUUUUGAGUUAGAAUAAAAAGAAAAAAGAAAGCAAUUUGGCAUCUUUGGCAUAAUCUAUAUUUUCGCGAAAUGGAUCAUAAUAAAAUAGAUUUUAGUUACAGGAGGAUUUCCUAUUUGUCGGUUGUGGCUGGAUUUCCGAGUGGAAUCCUAUUUAAGGGCGUGUUAGGCGUAGUUCUACUUCAGU
This 17708-nucleotide long non-coding RNA is filed under the name Zea mays. RNAcentral describes it as "long non-coding RNA (ZMAY_LNC002028)". Lineage: Eukaryota; Viridiplantae; Streptophyta; Magnoliopsida; Poales; Poaceae. The record is from RNAcentral.